This 73-nucleotide transfer RNA is filed under the name Zootermopsis nevadensis. It matches the Rfam family "tRNA". Rfam says of the family: Transfer RNA (tRNA) molecules are approximately 80 nucleotides in length. Their secondary structure includes four short double-helical elements and three loops (D, anti-codon, and T loops). Lineage: Eukaryota; Metazoa; Arthropoda; Insecta; Blattodea; Termopsidae. The record is from Rfam by way of RNAcentral.
GGCAUUGUUGUCUAGCGGUUAGAACGCUGGCCUUGUAAUCCUGGGGUCUCGGGUUCGAUUCCCGGCGGUGCCC